RNAcentral lists this long non-coding RNA (553 nucleotides) under Cyanistes caeruleus (blue tit). RNAcentral describes it as "lncRNA (ENSCCEG00000013617.1)". Lineage: Eukaryota; Metazoa; Chordata; Aves; Passeriformes; Paridae. The record is from RNAcentral.
UGGGGUUUUUUUUGGGGGGGAGAUUUUGGGGUUUUUUUGGGGUUUUUGGGGUUUUUUUGGGGAGGUUUUGGGGUUUUUUUGGGGAAGUUUUGGGGGUUUUUUUGGUUGGUUUUGGGGGUGUUUUGUAGGGUGGGAUUUUUGGGGGAGGUUUGGGGUGUUUUUACGGUGUUUUCUGGGGGUUUUAGGGGUGUUUUUGCCGUGUUUUUUUUUUGUGUUUUCUGCCUGUUUUGGGCUGUUUCUCUGCCUGUUUUUCUGCCUGUUCUGGGGUGUUUUUGUGGCUGUUUUGGGCUGGUUUUCUGCCUGUUUUUGUGGUGUUUUUCUGCCUGUUUUUCUGCCUGUUUUUCUGCCUGUUUUUCUGCCUGUUUUUCUGCCUGUUUCUGGGCUGUUCUUCUGUGUGUUUUUCUGCCUGUUUCCUGUGUGUUUUCUGUCUGUUUUUGGGCUGUUUUUGUGGCUGUUUUUCUGCCUGUUUCCUGUGUGUUUUCUGCCUGUUUUCUGUGUGUUUUCUGCCUGUUUUCUGUGUGUUUUCUGCCUGUUUCCUGUGUGUUUUCUGCCU